CCUUAUCACUUUUCCAGCCCAGCUUUGUGAUUGUCAGUGUUGGACGGAGAACUGAUAAGGGUGGG
Cavia aperea (Brazilian guinea pig) is the source of this 65-nucleotide microRNA precursor. Ensembl annotates it as microRNA 184. NCBI's taxonomy places the organism in Eukaryota, Metazoa, Chordata, Mammalia, Rodentia, Caviidae. The record is from Ensembl.